Molecule: ribosomal RNA, 493 nt
Filed under: uncultured bacterium
Lineage: Bacteria
Description: bacterial SSU rRNA
Rfam family: Bacterial small subunit ribosomal RNA
Source: RNAcentral
UAAUACCGCAUAAUAUGUUUUGGUCGCAUGACCUAGACAUCAAAGGAGUAAUCCGCUUUGAGAUGGACCCGCGGCGCAUUAGCUAGUUGGUGAGGUAACGGCUCACCAAGGCGACGAUGCGUAGCCGACCUGAGAGGGUGAUCGGCCACAUUGGAACUGAGACACGGUCCAGACUCCUACGGGAGGCAGCAGUGGGGAAUAUUGCGCAAUGGGGGAAACCCUGACGCAGCAACGCCGCGUGAAUGAUGAAGGCCUUCGGGUUGUAAAGUUCUGUCUUCUGGGACGAUAAUGACGGUACCAGAGGAGGAAGCCACGGCUAACUACGUGCCAGCAGCCGCGGUAAUACGUAGGUGGCAAGCGUUGUCCGGAUUUACUGGGCGUAAAGGAUGCGUAGGCGGACAUUUAAGUCAGAUGUGAAAUACCCGAGCUUAACUUGGGUGCUGCAUUUGAAACUGGGUGUCUAGAGUGCAGGAGAGGUAAGUGAAUACCUAGG